Non-coding RNA from Cicer arietinum (chickpea), 638 nucleotides. The record is from RefSeq and is a predicted model, not a curated record. Lineage: Eukaryota; Viridiplantae; Streptophyta; Magnoliopsida; Fabales; Fabaceae.
UUAGAUCGUAAAUCGUAAAAUCAGAUUGUGCCUAAACCCUUCUUUUGUUUUGAACCCUUCUCCUAUGUUUUGAACCCUUCUCUCACUGUUUCUCAUCGUUGUCGUCCCCCUCUUGAACGAUCAGAGUCAUCAUCGUCCUCCUCUCAGACUCGUCACCGUCCCCCUCUCAGAUUCGUCACCGUCCCCCUCUCAGACUCGUCACCGUCCCCCUCUCGAACUCGUCGCUGUUCAGUGUCACCGUCAUCGAACCCCUCUCGAACCGUCCCCUUCUCGAACCCGCGCUCUCAUCUAUGGUCGCUGUCUCACUCUCAAGAACUGCUGCCAUCGUGUGGUAAAAACUCUUCGCCCUAGGAAGAAAAAACUAUCUACUUGGCCUGCACAUUUAGAAAUUUUCCCUGUAAGUCAUUUUCCUUGCUGCAAUCAUUGACUUGCUAUGUGAUUAUUGUGUUAGAAGGUUGAACAUAUAUGAAGUUGCAUGUGGAUCUGUGAUCUGUCAAUAUUUCAGUAUAUUUCUAGUGCUGCAGUACCUGUUUAAUAUUAUUUUUUCUCAUUUUAUCCUCAUAAGUUGUAAUAACACCCCUUUCUUGUAAUUAAGAAGUUGAAUUUCAAUUUCAACCGAUUAUUUUUGGACCUUCGCA